Molecule: ribosomal RNA, 460 nt
Filed under: uncultured bacterium
Lineage: Bacteria
Description: partial 16S ribosomal RNA
Rfam family: Bacterial small subunit ribosomal RNA
Source: RNAcentral
CCUACGGGUGGCAGCAGUGAGGAAUAUUGGUCAAUGGACGAGAGUCUGAACCAGCCAAGUAGCGUGAAGGAUGACUGCCCUAUGGGUUGUAAACUUCUUUUAUAUGGGAAUAAAAUGUUCCACGUGUGGGAUUUUGUAUGUACCAUAUGAAUAAGGAUCGGCUAACUCCGUGCCAGCAGCCGCGGUAAUACGGAGGAUCCGAGCGUUAUCCGGAUUUAUUGGGUUUAAAGGGAGCAUAUGUGGAUUGUUAAGUCAGUUGUGAAAGUUUGCGGCUCAACCGUAAAAUUGCAGUUGAAACUGGCAGUCUUGAGUACAGUAGAGGUGGGCGGAAUUCGUGGUGUAGCGGUGAAAUGCUUAGAUAUCACGAAGAACUCCGAUUGCGAAGGCAGUUCACUGGACUGCAACUGACACUGAGGCUCGAAAGUGUGGGUAUCAAACAGGAUUAGAUACCCGUGUAGUC